AAGGAAAGCAUUGCGCAUGCGGGAAACCCACGCUGAGGGAAGAAUCAUGGGAAAGAGUAGAGACGGGGUUCCACCGUGUUAGCCAGGAUGGUCUCGAUCUCCUGACCUCGUCAUCCUCCCGCCUUGGCCUCCCAAAGUGCUGGGAUUACAGGCUUGAGCCACCGCGCCCCGCUCUUUCGUGUUCCAAAGGCUUUUUAAAUAAACUUCCACUCCUGUCCUGGAUUCUGCUUUAUGGCCCUCAGUCGAAUUCUUUCUUCUGAGGAGGCAAGGACUGAAGUUGCUUCUGACCAGUACAGGUACGCCGCAGGAGAAAACGAAUACAGCAGGGAUGACUUCCACCAGCUCCACUUUGCAGCUCUGAGGUGUAUUAAAAAUAAACCUAGAGCCCCACCAAAUGAAUCCGCUGGCACGUGGACCUCAGAUGGGGGAAACUGAGGACUGAAUUCUGACCACCCUCCUUUGUUCUAAAUUUCUUCCUGAAGGACCUGGAAGAAGUCAUGCCACGGGCCAGACCUUAACAUUCCUUUCGGCUUACCCCAGGAUUUCAGACGAAGCUUCACUUUCCUAACCAGUCACAAAUCAGAGAAUUUUUGAUUCCACCUAUGACCUGUGAGCUCCUGCUUCAAGAUAUUCCACCUUUUUUAGGCCAAACCAAUGUAUAACCUCCAAGUGUCGAUUUACACUUUCGACUGUAACUUCUGCUUUCCUGAGAUUUACCCCUGCCUUUAAAAACCCUUGCUUGUAAUCCCUCAGGGAGGCCGUGUAUUUAUUAAUCAUGAGCUGCCCAAUUCUCCUUGCUUGGUGCCCUGCAAAUAAACACCCUCUUUUCUCCCACUGCAAAACCUCAGUGUGGAUGUUUGGCUUUACUUCACCCCCAGGAAAGCAGACCCAGGUUUGACUCAGCAACAACAUCUGUUUCUAUUUUUCUCUGUAUAAAUAUUAAAAACCAUAAGUACAUGCUAUCUCCAAUUCCAAUAUAAACCCAUAGGGCUCAUUCUGGCCUUCCCAUUUUCUUAUGUGUAAUUCAUUUCUCUGAAAAUGAGAAUUCGAGUACUCAGAUAUUUACUUACCUACUCAAUCCUAGAAUAGAAAUAAAAUAAUUCAACAUAA
RNAcentral lists this small RNA (1110 nucleotides) under Homo sapiens (human). RNAcentral describes it as "PPP1R3B divergent transcript (ENSG00000285236.3)". Lineage: Eukaryota; Metazoa; Chordata; Mammalia; Primates; Hominidae. The record is from RNAcentral.